CGAGGACUGCGCGAGUUGCGCAUCCUGGCUCUGGCAAUUAAACAAGCUGGAGCGCUUGCCCGACGGCCUGUGUCGCCUGCCGCGCCUCACGCGCCUCUACCUGGGCGGCAACCGCCUGCUGGCGCUGCCCGCCGACUUCGCGCAGCUGCAGAGCCUGCGCUGCCUCUGGAUCGAGGGCAACUUCCUGCGGCGCUUCCCGCGGCCGCUGCUGCGCCUGGUGGCGCUGCAGUCGCUGCAGAUGGGCGACAACCGGCUGCGCGCGCUGCCCGCCGAGCUGCCGCGCAUGACGGGCUUGCGCGGCCUCUGGCUCUACGGCAACCGCUUCGAGGAGUUCCCGCCCGCGCUCCUGCGUAUGGGCCGCCUGCACAUCCUCGACCUCGACCGCAACCGCCUGGGCGGCUUCCCGGACCUGCACCCGCUGCGCGCGCUGCGCGUCUUCUCCUACGACCACAACCCGGUCACUGGGCCCCCGCGCGUCGCCGACACCGUGUUCCUGGUGGGCGAGGGCGCUGUAGAGCGCAUGGCCGAGCGCGACGAGCCCACGCCCCGGCAGCCACCCCGGCGCCCGGCGCGGGCCUUUGAGGACGAGGAGGAAGAAGACCUGCUCAUAGGGGGCGCCAGCUCGCGGGCCCUGGAAGCCCCGGCUCCGGGACUGGGCACCUGAGGCUGCUGUCUUGGCCAUCGAUGGGCUUGGCCACCCUGGAAGGAGGGCCUCUGGGUCCCUCUGGGUCUGUCGGGACGGCGAGGGCGGGCACUUUGGGCGAGCUGUGGGCACAGGCAGGCCUAGGGGGCAGCUUCAGACCCUCCCGGGUAGUAAGACUGCUACCUAGCCGAUCUCUGGACAGUCGUCGGAGCAAGAAGACUGGGCUCCACUCGCUCUGCAGUAGAACCACUGCCAACACAGCAGAGGUCCAGCUUCCUCCCGAGCCAGGGUCGUGGUGGUCUGUGGAAUGAUGGCCUCGCCUCGCCCUGAAUCCAGAUGCCCAGCGCGCCCACCACCCUCGCUCCUGGGGUUGGACCUCCUGGGCCCACCCUUUCUGGUGCAGGAGCUGCUACCUCCCAGCAUGUGCCUGGAAUCCUACUGGGCAAAGAGAGCUCUCCCUCCUUUCCCCACAGCCUGUGCCAUCAGCUGUCAAGUUUGAAAAGAAGCCACUGUGCCUCCAGGGCCUCCUGCUCAGAAGAGAGGGGCUCUGUGCUCCGGGAGGCCGCCCCAGCACCUCUCCCACUGCCUGCACUCUCCAUUCCCUUACAUGGGCACAGCCAGGGUGGCUGGCACGGGACGGGCACUGUGUGCCUCCGCUCCGUCACCAGGGACAGCCUCGAGGGGGUGAGGAGAGGGGCCCAGCUCUGCAGUCCCCAGGGCAAGAUCUUUCCCAUCCAAGCAAUAACGGGAGGAGGGGGCCAGGGCCGAGGACACUCAGGGACACUGUCGGGGCCGAGGCCCAACUCGCUAGUGUUUUCUUUAGGAAGAAAAAACAAACGGGCUGUAAGCAUAAAUUAUAUUUCUUGGAUAAAGAAUGUACGUUUCCCACACGCCUGUUUAUUUAUAAGCCUUGAGAGCACUGGGUCCCUGUGCAGUGGGAGUCCUGCUCUGUGGCAGGUCGCCCCUGGCCAAUGGCUGGAUUCGGCCACUCAAGGCUGGUCUCCCAGCUCGCCCCCUCCCUCAGUCUGGCUGCCAGAUCUUCUCUGGCUUAAUUCUCAGGGACCAGAAUCUUAG
This 1717-nucleotide long non-coding RNA is filed under the name Oryctolagus cuniculus (rabbit). RNAcentral describes it as "lncRNA (ENSOCUG00000014581.3)". The record is from RNAcentral. Lineage: Eukaryota; Metazoa; Chordata; Mammalia; Lagomorpha; Leporidae.